UGUGUGUGUGUGUGUAAUCACUCUAAAUGAUCAAGGAUAAUAUUUUUAUGACGAAAUUAACUGUGUAGUGUUUGGUAGACAUCAAGAUUUUGACACUAAAUAUAAACAAGUGUGAUGAAACAAGCCAUCAACGGACACCUCUUUGUAAUCGUUCAAACCGCUAGAAAUAGCAGUCAAAUCUCUCUCAACACCCAUGCUUAUAGUUUUAAGAAGGAACACGUUAGUUAUGGCAAUGCUGGGCUUCAUGCACACUGGGAAAAAACGGGAUGAUCACGACUGGAAUGUCUUUGAUUAUAGGUCUGCUCGAUCAAGAAUAAAAAGAGCAACAAAGAAAGAAGAGAGAAGCAGACAGCCGGAUAAGACUACGAUAUGUGACAACCAGCUGACAGGUCAAAUCAAAGGUUCGCAACCUGGCAUCGUCGCAGUGAUGCUGCUUGUAUCUAAGGCAUUUUAAUUAAGCCUGUAACUUAUCGAAAAUUGCAAUAGGAUUAUAAUUCACCACUGAAAACAGUGGGAACAAAGUUCUGUUCCUCUCAUAGAAGAAAAUCUAAAUGCAAUAUAUUUAGUAUCUUAGAUAGGAGGAGUGUUGCAGAGACUGGAAGGUACAGGUCAACUUGUCCGUGAAUCGGAAAACGAUUAGUUUUUAUAACGUUCUAUUUGCUUAGCAGACGUUAAGUUUUUCAGACACGAAACUGAAAAACUGCUGUCGGACCCAAGGAAAACGAAUCGCUUCGCCGAUUUUCUUACGAUCCCUCACGUUAUAAUUAACCCUAAUGAGAUUAGAGUAAAAAAAAAAAAAA
Molecule: long non-coding RNA, 800 nt
Organism: Octopus sinensis (East Asian common octopus)
Lineage: Eukaryota; Metazoa; Mollusca; Cephalopoda; Octopoda; Octopodidae
Exons: 2
Source: RefSeq, a predicted model, not a curated record